CCCUAUUCCCUUAUUUUUUUUGUACUUUUUCCUCUAUUUUCUCGGCAUUUUUCCUUUAUUUUCUCACUAGUUGGUCACCACCGCCGGCUGUUCACAACCUUCGAUCCUCGACCAUGCCCCCCAGCAUAGUUUCCAGCAACCCUGGCGUCCCCUUCCUCUUCUAAGAGAGGGAAAGCAUUCCUCUUUCUGUCUCUUCUUUCUCUCUCUUCUCCCUCUUUUUCUCUCUAAGCAAACCCAUGGAGUUGCGUACAAAGUCCUGUCCCUCUUUCCUGCGAAC
RNAcentral lists this long non-coding RNA (277 nucleotides) under Elaeis guineensis (African oil palm). RNAcentral's name for it is "long non-coding RNA (EGUI_LNC006057)". The record is from RNAcentral. Lineage: Eukaryota; Viridiplantae; Streptophyta; Magnoliopsida; Arecales; Arecaceae.